UAAGGUUAAAAGGAAGUAAAUAAAGAUGACUGGCGCCACCUAGAUUUUACAUCCAAGAUAAUAGGUAGAAGUAAAUUUAUUUUCUGCUGCCUUGGUAAUUAGAAAUUAAAAUUGAAAUAGUGAGAAAUGGGUGUUGGCCAUUGGUGUAGAAAUAGCGAGAAAUUUAGAGAAAACUCUCUAAGACAAGCAACAUUUUCUGUGCCAAAUUAAGCAAGGGGUGUUCUUCAUUCAUACUAUUUCGAAAAUUCCGGAACCGUUGAGUACCCUUAAAAAAUGCCAUUUUUCUAUCAAAAAAGCUGUUGCACCAUAUGUGUU
RNAcentral lists this long non-coding RNA (315 nucleotides) under Mytilus galloprovincialis (Mediterranean mussel). Lineage: Eukaryota; Metazoa; Mollusca; Bivalvia; Mytilida; Mytilidae. The record is from RNAcentral.